This 73-nucleotide transfer RNA is filed under the name Agrilus planipennis (emerald ash borer). It matches the Rfam family "tRNA". Rfam says of the family: Transfer RNA (tRNA) molecules are approximately 80 nucleotides in length. Their secondary structure includes four short double-helical elements and three loops (D, anti-codon, and T loops). Further hydrogen bonds mediate the characteristic L-shaped molecular structure. tRNAs have two regions of fundamental functional importance: the anti-codon, which is responsible for specific mRNA codon recognition, and the 3' end, to which the tRNAs corresponding amino acid is attached (by aminoacyl-tRNA synthetases). tRNAs cope with the degeneracy of the genetic code in two manners: having more than one tRNA (with a specific anti-codon) for a particular amino acid; and 'wobble' base-pairing, i.e. permitting non-standard base-pairing at the 3rd anti-codon position. The record is from Rfam by way of RNAcentral. Lineage: Eukaryota; Metazoa; Arthropoda; Insecta; Coleoptera; Buprestidae.
CCUUUCGUGGCCUAGUGGUCAGAGCAUUGGCGUGUAAAGCUAAAGAUACCGGGUUCGAUUCCCGGCUAGGGUG